UGGUGCUAAGGUGGUGCUGUUAGUGGUGGUGUUGAGGAUAGUAGUGAUGGAGAUUGUAGUCGUGGUGAUGAUGGUAGUGGUAAUGCUGAUGAUGAAGGAAGUGGUGAUGAUGAAGGUAGUAGAGGUGGUGGUGACGACGACGAAGAAAAUGGUGGUAACGAUGGAAGUGGUGAUGAUAGUAAAGGCGGCGUCACACUGGCAUUCUUUCGUCAACUUUUUUCGUCAACUUUCAGGAAAUCGUUAAACUUUGUUGUGCACCGUCACACAAGCGUUUAGAACCAACUCGCCAGUUUCCCUCGACAACUGCCAACAAAGAAGAUGGAUCCAACUGACGAAGAAAACGCAGCAAUUCUACGCCUUCUUUUGUGUGUAUGAAGAGUCCUGGUGAUCCCAGAGUCAGCGGCGUUGCCUUAUCUGGUCCACCAAGAACUCCUCAGAGAGGCGUGUCCAUACUUGGGAAAUUAUGUUAUCUGUUGGCUCCGACAUGUUGUUGUUAUUCUCGCAUGGUCAAAAUGUAAACAACAAUUGACAUUUUCUUGCAAUUUUAAAAUUACGAAAUUAAACUUAAUGGAUAAUCAAGGGAAGAAGAGUAAUAAUUAAUAUAUAACAAUUUUAUCUUUAUAUUUUAAGUAGAAAUUAGUUUAUUUUUAUAACUAUUUGUAGUAUCAAUUAUAGAUCUUGAGUUGACUCUGGUAAGUUGUCAAAGUUGACGGAAGACUUGCCAGUGAAGCCAAACACCGACGAUUCUAAGUUGACAGUAAUGAAAAAGUUGACAGUAAAAAUGCUAGUGUGACGCCGCCUUAAGGGAUAUAUCUGUAUAGGAAGAAUUGGCAUAACUAAAUAAUAAAGGUCGAUUCCCUGGCUGGUAACACUACUUAUAUGACCAUUAUUUAUGAGUAUAUAUACAAAAUACUAAUAUAUCACAUUUUAUCACAACUAAUAUAUUAUUACUAGCCUAUAGAAUGAAUCACCCUGUACUGUAGUUUACGUUUUAUGAGAAUUAAUAUAAUACCUUGUUAAUAAUCUAACUCGGGUCUAAAUCUACGUAAUUAUUUCAUUCAUUUAUUUAUUUGCAUUUUUAAGGUUUCUAGAAAUGAAGUUUGUAUUAUAGAGCAACAGGCGGUGUAUAAAUUUGAGAACACUAGGUAAAUUAAUAUGUAUUGAUGUACAAGGGGGAAAAGCUACAAAAAGUUCCUUAUGAAGAUAUUUGAGAACCUACGAGGCGCCAUACUUGGAGAUGCCGCCAAACAGGAACGUCACCCAAUCAGGACUCCAAUAAGACCUAGGGAACUUCAAUCAUCAGUCACUGCCGCCGGAGAUAACCAAUUACAGAACGGGAAUGACAUAGAACUAACGACCAAUUACAACACUAUGCAAGAGGUGCCGAGACCGACGGCAGCAGUACAGGACGCUGAAGGAGGCUAUGUGGGCCCUGCCGCCGAGUCCCGGGAGGCAAGAGGAAGACCACCGUCCCUGUCCAAGUACACCACCAGGGGUCCACAGGACGGCUGGUGGUGGCAGCGUGGUGGCGUUAGUUGUACAACAGGAGAGCAGACAUUGGUGUUCCUGAGCGGCUGUCUGCUGGUACUGUUGCUGUUUCUGCUGGUGACUGUCUUCUUCGUGUCCUCAGGUGUGUGGAGGAGGAGGAUCAGCACCUGUACCAGCCGUGAGUGUGUCAAGACAGCGGGGGAGGUCCUCAGGUCACUUAACGAAGAGGUGUCACCGUGUGAGAACUUUGUGGACUUCGUGUGUGGAGGCUGGCUGCGUCAACACCCUAUACCCGAGGGUAAACACCGUUGGGGAGUGUUUGAUGUCCUCGACCAACAAACACUCGUGGACCUCAGAGGGCAGCUGGAGAAAGAGCCCCUCGUCCACGACCCCGUCACCAUCAGGACGGCCAAGACGGUGUACCAGGCGUGUGUCAAUGACACACAAUGGGACACGGUAGGUCUGAGGCCCCUGCUAGACCUGGUAGUGAAGGAGGGAGGCCUGCCUAUGGUGGACCCUUCAUGGACAGGUGACCACUACCAGGUGAUGACCAGUCUGGCCAGACUGAGAAACACCCUGGCAGGAGAAUACCUCAUCAGUCUCAUCGUCAAGCCUGACAGUCGCAACACCUCCAAACCUGUUAUAUACAUAGGAGAGGGGAUGCUUCCGGUCCAGCGAGUCUUCCUCACCCCUCAGGUCUCCACCAGUCACAAGGAAGCACAGAUCACCUACAUGAGGGAGACUGGAAAGGAACUACUGAAGGAGCUGCGGCAGGAGAGAAACAACACCUUCAUCUACACGCUGUACAGGGACAUUGACGACCUAUGGGACUUCUACGUCAGGGUGGCCGAGAUCACCACACCAAAGGCCCCGGAAGAGAACCCUUGGGACACUUACCACCCCAUGACGGUAUAUGAACUACAGAACUUCACCGACUCCGUCAACGCCUCCUUCAGGAUAAAUUGGCUGGGGUACCUGAAUCAAGUGUUUGAAGGCACUACCAUCACUAUCACCUGGGAGGACCGGGUGAUUGUCGAGUAUCCCAAGUACCUCAUCCAGCUACUGCUACUUCUUCAGGAUACUCCUAAGAGAACUAUUGCCAACUAUCUGCUGUUCCCUGUGGUAGUGGAGAUGGGGGAGGAGACUAACGUACGGUACCUCACACGUCCUCACCACGCCCUCCCACGCCUGCAGUCCACCUGGUCACUUGGGAGAGCUAAGUCGUGGCCAUGGCAUGACUGUACACAGAAGACAAGGAUGCUGCUGCCUCUGGGUGUGGCCAGUGUAUAUGUUAGACACAUAUACAAACAACAGCUGGGAGAUAUGGCGAAGGAGGUGGUGGAGGACGUGACUGGCGCCUUCAGGAAGAUGUUGACCUCGUCGCUGUGGAUGGACAGCGACACCCUAAAGGAGGCGCUGCAGAAGUUAGACAAUAUGUACCAUCUAGUGGCCUUCCCCGAGCUGGUACUGAAUGACCAGCUGUUGGAACAGUACCACCUGGGGCUGCCUCCCGUCAGUAAGGUGGACCACUUCGGCAACAUGGUGGGUCUGGUGACCUGGUACAGUCGACGAUCACUACAGCAGCUGACUGUACUACCAUCUAGGGACAGGUGGCCGAGAGGACCCCUGGAGACAAACGCUUUCUAUGCCCCUUUACAAAACAGUAUAGUGAUCCCCGUGGCGGUGCUGCAAGAACCCAUCUUCCACCCGGAGAAGACCACGACGCACGAGGGGCUGGACAGGGUCACUACAGCGCUGGUGGACCAACUCAACACUACAACAGUACACCAACAAGACCAGCUGCUUCGUCCAACAGUACUCCGGCUAUGACGUGUCCAGCUUACUGCCUCCCCAAGACCGUCCUCCCUACCCCAUGAUGAUUAACGGACUCAAAACGAAGGGAGAGAAUAUUGCGGAUAAUGAUGGUCUGAGGGCGGCAUGGGUGGCGUACAGAUCACGUAUGGAGAAGGACGGAGAGGAGGUGGUGGAGUUGCCC
Molecule: unclassified non-coding RNA, 3484 nt
Filed under: Homarus americanus (American lobster)
Lineage: Eukaryota; Metazoa; Arthropoda; Malacostraca; Decapoda; Nephropidae
Description: endothelin-converting enzyme 1-like, transcript variant X3
Source: RNAcentral